GAUGAACGCUGGCGGCGUGCCUAAUACAUGCAAGUCGAGCGAACAGAUGAGGAGCUUGCUCCUCUGACGUUAGCGGCGGACGGGUGAGUAACACGUGGAUAACCUACCUAUAAGACUGGGAUAACUUCGGGAAACCGGAGCUAAUACCGGAUAAUAUAUUGAACCGCAUGGUUCAAUAGUGAAAGACGGUUUUGCUGUCACUUAUAGAUGGAUCCGCGCCGCAUUAGCUAGUUGGUAAGGAACGGCUUACCAAGGCAACGAUGCGUAGCCGACCUGAGAGGGUGAUCGGCCACACUGGAACUGAGACACGGUCCAGACUCCUACGGGAGGCAGCAGUAGGGAAUCUUCCGCAAUGGGCGAAAGCCUGACGGAGCAACGCCGCGUGAGUGAUGAAGGUCUUCGGAUCGUAAAACUCUGUUAUUAGGGAAGAACAAAUGUGUAAGUAACUAUGCACGUCUGGACGGUACCUAAUCAGAAAGCCACGGCUAACUACGU
This 495-nucleotide ribosomal RNA is filed under the name uncultured bacterium. RNAcentral's name for it is "partial 16S ribosomal RNA". It matches the Rfam family "Bacterial small subunit ribosomal RNA", at positions 28 to 506 of the family's 1533-position model. The record is from RNAcentral.